UUACACAUGCAAGUCGAGGGGUAUAGUUCUUCGGGAUUAGAGACCGGCGCACGGGUGCGUAACGCGUAUGCAAUCUGCCUUUCACAGAGGGAUAGCCCAGAGAAAUUUGGAUUAAUACCUCAUAGUAUUACGACUCGGCAUCGAGAUGUAAUUAAAGUCACAACGGUGAAAGAUGAGCAUGCGUCCCAUUAGCUAGUUGGUAAGGUAACGGCUUACCAAGGCAACGAUGGGUAGGGGUCCUGAGAGGGAGAUCCCCCACACUGGUACUGAGACACGGACCAGACUCCUACGGGAGGCAGCAGUGAGGAAUAUUGGACAAUGGGCGCAAGCCUGAUCCAGCCAUGCCGCGUGCAGGAUGACGGUCCUAUGGAUUGUAAACUGCUUUUGUACGAGAAGAAACACUCCUAUGUAUAGGAGCUUGACGGUAUCGUAAGAAUAAGGAUCGGCUAACUCCGUGCCAGCAGCCGCGGUAAUACGGAGGAUCCAAGCGUUAUCCGGAAUCAUUGGGUUUAAAGGGUCCGUAGGCGGUUUAGUAAGUCAGUGGUGAAAGCCCAUCGCUCAACGGUGGAACGGCCAUUGAUACUGCUGAACUUGAAUUAUUAGGAAGUAACUAGAAUAUGUAGUGUAGCGGUGAAAUGCUUAGAUAUUACAUGGAAUACCAAUUGCGAAGGCAGGUUACUACUAAUGGAUUGACGCUGAUGGACGAAAGCGUGGGGAGCGAACAGGAUUAGAUACCCUGGUAGUCCACGCCGUAAACGAUGGAUACUAGCUGUUGGAAGCAAUUUCAGUGGCUAAGCGAAAGUGAUAAGUAUCCCACCUGGGGAGUACGUUCGCAAGAAUGAAACUCAAAGGAAUUGACGGGGGCCCGCACAAGCGGUGGAGCAUGUGGUUUAAUUCGAUGAUACGCGAGGAACCUUACCAAGGCUUAAAUGUAGAUUGACCGGUUUGGAAACAGAUCUUUCGCAAGACAAUUUACAGGUGCUGCAUGGUUGUCGUCAGCUCGUGCCGUGAGGUGUCAGGUUAAGUCCUAUAACGAGCGCAACCCCUGUUGUUAGUUGCCAGCGAGUCAAGUCGGGAACUCUAACAAGACUGCCAUGCACUGU
RNAcentral lists this ribosomal RNA (1103 nucleotides) under Flavobacterium sp. Its description in RNAcentral is "bacterial SSU rRNA". It matches the Rfam family "Bacterial small subunit ribosomal RNA", at positions 49 to 1162 of the family's 1533-position model. The record is from RNAcentral. Lineage: Bacteria; Pseudomonadati; Bacteroidota; Flavobacteriia; Flavobacteriales; Flavobacteriaceae.